GAGGAAAGUCCGGGCUUCACAGAGCAGGAUGCCGGCUAACGGCCGGGCACCGUGAGGUGACGGAAAGUGCAACAGAGAACAGACCGCCUAAGUCCGGGGCAACCCGGGCCGGCAAGGGUGAAACGGCGAGGUAAGAGCUCACCGCGGACGUGGUAACACGGACGGCACGGCAAACCCCAUCCGAAGCAAGGCCAAAUAGGGAAGCGCAUGGCGUGGCUCGCGCCGCUUCCGGGUAGGCUGCUUGAGCGUACUGGCAACAGUGCGCCUAGAGGAAUGGUUGUCCACGACAGAACCCGGCUUA
RNAcentral lists this RNase P RNA (301 nucleotides) under Candidatus Propionivibrio aalborgensis. RNAcentral's name for it is "RNaseP_bact_a". It matches the Rfam family "Bacterial RNase P class A", at positions 43 to 351 of the family's 367-position model. Rfam says of the family: Ribonuclease P (RNase P) is a ubiquitous endoribonuclease, found in archaea, bacteria and eukarya as well as chloroplasts and mitochondria. Its best characterised activity is the generation of mature 5'-ends of tRNAs by cleaving the 5'-leader elements of precursor-tRNAs. Lineage: Bacteria; Pseudomonadati; Pseudomonadota; Betaproteobacteria; Rhodocyclales; Rhodocyclaceae. The record is from RNAcentral.